GGCCUGUGGCGGGCUGCUAUACUGCAAGUCGAGCGGACUUACAAAAGCUUGCUUUUGUAAGUUAGCGGCGGACGGGUGAGUAACACGUGGGCAACCUGCCCUUGAGACUGGGAUAACUUCGGGAAACCGGAGCUAAUACCGGAUAAUAUAAGGAACCUCCUGGUUCCUUAUUGAAAGAUGGUUUCGGCUAUCACUUGAGGAUGGGCCCGCGGCGCAUUAGCUAGUUGGUGAGGUAACGGCUCACCAAGGCGACGAUGCGUAGCCGACCUGAGAGGGUGAUCGGCCACACUGGGACUGAGACACGGCCCAGACUCCUACGGGAGGCAGCAGUAGGGAAUCUUCCACAAUGGACGAAAGUCUGAUGGAGCAACGCCGCGUGAGUGAUGAAGGCCUUCGGGUCGUAAAGCUCUGUUGUUAGGGAAGAACAAGUGCGAGAGUAACUGCUCGCACCUUGACGGUACCUAACCAGAAAGCCACGGCUAACUACGUGCCAGCAGCCGCGGUAAUACGUAGGUGGCAAGCGUUAUCCGGAAUUAUUGGGCGUAAAGCGCGCGCAGGUGGUUUCUUAAGUCUGAUGUGAAAGCCCACGGCUCAACCGUGGAGGGUCAUUGGAAACUGGGGAACUUGAGUGCAGAAAAGGAAAGUGGAAUUCCAAGUGUAGCGGUGAAAUGCGUAAAGAUUUGGAGGAACACCAGUGGCGAAGGCGACUUUCUGGUCUGUAACUGACACUGAAGGCGCGAAAGCGUGGGGAGCAAACAGGAUUAGAUACCCUGGGAAGCCCACGCCGUAAACGAUGAAUGCUAAUGGUUAGAGGGUUUCCGCCCUUUAAGGCUGCAGCUAACGCAUUAAGCCCUCCCGCCUGGGGAAUACCGGCCGCAAGACUGGAACUCCAAGGAAUUGACCGGGGGCCCGCCCAAACGGGGGAACCUGGGGGUUUAAUUCCAAA
This 946-nucleotide ribosomal RNA is filed under the name Sutcliffiella halmapala. RNAcentral describes it as "bacterial SSU rRNA". It matches the Rfam family "Bacterial small subunit ribosomal RNA", at positions 34 to 956 of the family's 1533-position model. Lineage: Bacteria; Bacillati; Bacillota; Bacilli; Caryophanales; Bacillaceae. The record is from RNAcentral.